CAGGCUUAACACAUGCAAGUCGAGGGGCAGCAUGGUCUUAGCUUGCUAAGGCCGAUGGCGACCGGCGCACGGGUGAGUAACACGUAUCCAACCUGCCGUCUACUCUUGGACAGCCUUCUGAAAGGAAGAUUAAUACAAGAUGGCAUCAUGAGUCCGCAUGUUCACAUGAUUAAAGGUAUUCCGGUAGACGGUGGGGAUGCGUUCCAUUAGAUAGUAGGCGGGGUAACGGCCCACCUAGUCUUCGAUGGAUAGGGGUUCUGAGAGGAAGGUCCCCCACAUUGGAACUGAGACACGGUCCAAACUCCUACGGGAGGCAGCAGUGAGGAAUAUUGGUCAAUGGGCGAGAGCCUGAACCAGCCAAGUAGCGUGAAGGAUGACUGCCCUAUGGGUUGUAAACUUCUUUUAUAAAGGAAUAAAGUCGGGUAUGGAUACCCGUUUGCAUGUACUUUAUGAAUAAGGAUCGGCUAACUCCGUGCCAGCAGCCGCGGUAAUACGGAGGAUCCGAGCGUUAUCCGGAUUUAUUGGGUUUAAAGGGAGCGUAGAUGGAUGUUUAAGUCAGUUGUGAAAGUUUGCGGCUCAACCGUAAAAUUGCAGUUGAUACUGGAUAUCUUGAGUGCAGUUGAGGCAGGCGGAAUUCGUGGUGUAGCGGUGAAAUGCUUAGAUAUCACGAAGAACUCCGAUUGCGAAGGCAGCCUGCUAAGCUGCAACUGACAUUGAGGCUCGAAAGUGUGGGUAUCAAACAGGAUUAGAUACCCUGGUAGUCCACACGGUAAACGAUGAAUACUCGCUGUUUGCGAUAUACAGCAAGCGGCCAAGCGAAAGCGUUAAGUAUUCCACCUGGGGAGUACGCCGGCAACGGUGAAACUCAAAGGAAUUGACGGGGGCCCGCACAAGCGGAGGAACAUGUGGUUUAAUUCGAUGAUACGCGAGGAACCUUACCCGGGCUUAAAUUGCAGAUGAAUUACGGUGAAAGCCGUAAGCCGCAAGGCAUCUGUGAAGGUGCUGCAUGGUUGUCGUCAGCUCGUGCCGUGAGGUGUCGGCUUAAGUGCCAUAACGAGCGCAACCCUUGUUGUCAGUUACUAACAGGUUCCGCUGAGGACUCUGACAAGACUGCCAUCGUAAGAUGUGAGGAAGGUGGGGAUGACGUCAAAUCAGCACGGCCCUUACGUCCGGGGCUACACACGUGUUACAAUGGGGGGUACAGAGGGCCGCUACCACGCGAGUGGAUGCCAAUCCCCAAAACCUCUCUCAGUUCGGACUGGAGUCUGCAACCCGACUCCACGAAGCUGGAUUCGCUAGUAAUCGCGCAUCAGCCACGGCGCGGUGAAUACGUUCCCGGGCCUUGUACACACCGCCCGUCAAGCCAUGGGAGCCGGGGGUACCUGAAGUGCGUAACCGCGAGGAGCGCCCUAGGGUAAAACUGGUGACUGG
Molecule: ribosomal RNA, 1431 nt
Filed under: uncultured organism
Description: 16S ribosomal RNA
Rfam family: Bacterial small subunit ribosomal RNA
Source: RNAcentral